RNAcentral lists this ribosomal RNA (573 nucleotides) under uncultured Inocybe. Its description in RNAcentral is "eukaryotic LSU rRNA". The stretch from base 209 to 363 matches the Rfam family "5.8S ribosomal RNA". Lineage: Eukaryota; Fungi; Basidiomycota; Agaricomycetes; Agaricales; Cortinariaceae. The record is from RNAcentral.
CAUUAUCNAAAUAGCAUGACGGGGUUGUCGCUGGCCUCUUUUGACCGUGCACGCUCCGUCGUUCNUCAUUUCUCCAUCUAUUUGUGCACACCUCUUGCGUAUUGGGACUGCUUUGCAAAAAUGAAUAUGAAUUUGUGGGCUUUCCUUGUCGCUACCACACAUACACCAGUGUAAAUCGUAUGGAAUUNUGAUGCAUAUAAUGUAAUACAACUUUCAGCAACGGAUCUCUUGGCUCUCGCAUCGAUGAAGAACGCAGCGAAAUGCGAUAAGUAAUGUGAAUUGCAGAAUUCAGUGAAUCAUCGAAUCUUUGAACGCAUCUUGCGCUCCUUGGUUAAUGCAAGGAGCAUGCCUGUUUGAGUGUCAUUAAUGUCUCAACCACACCGAUGAGGUGUGGCUUGGAUUUGGGGGCUACAGGCUCUGCAUUGUAGUCUGCUCCCCUGAAAUGCAUGGGUGGCGACGACCUCUCCAUUAAGGUGUGAUACACAUAUCUGCAUCUGGUUGAGGGGUUUUGCUGCUGAGAGGAGUCGGAUUGAUAAACUUGACCUCAAAUCAGGUAGGACCACCCGCUGAACU